UCCAAACUUUUCUCUUUGCC
RNAcentral lists this non-coding RNA (20 nucleotides) under Rattus norvegicus (Norway rat). Lineage: Eukaryota; Metazoa; Chordata; Mammalia; Rodentia; Muridae. The record is from RNAcentral.